CCCCCUGGACAGAACCGAACGGAGGCAGCCUCAGCCGCAAGCCAGCCAGCCAGCCUGCCUGCCUGCCUGCCUCCUUGGGGACCUUCCCUGGGUUCCUACCGCUCCGUCCCAGCCUGGCCUUGCGGGGGCAGUUCGGGGUGCAGCGGCGGCGGCGGCGGCGGCGAGCGACCCCCGCGCUCCACCUCGUACCUCAAGCCCGGGGAUUUGCUAAAAGUGUCCGAGGCGAGCAGCAAAAGGCAGGAGGAGAUCAGGGAGCGGGGAGCCCAAGAGGAAGAAGAAGGAGAACGCGCGCCGGGGGUGCUGGAACCAGUUGUAUUGGCUCUUGCCUUUCCAUUGGACCAUUUCAGUGUGGCGCUCGGGCCUGGGCGAGCGCAGCCCUGCAGUCUUGACUGCAGCUGGGCGCGGAGGGGGGGGUCGCCUGGGGGGGAGGCUUUCGAAAACCUGCUUUUCUGUUGCUUUCCCCUCCCCCCUGGUCAGCCCUUAGCGGGACUCCCACCCCAUCCACCCCUCUUUAAACGAGAGGUUCUGAUAUUCCAGUCACCAUGCAGAGAAAGAAAGAAAGAAAGAAAGAAAGAAAGAAAGAAAGAAAGAAAGAAAGAAAGAAAGAAAGAAAGAAAGAAAGAAAGAAAGAAAGAAAAAAGAAAGAAAGAAAGAAAGAAAGAAAGAAAGAAAGAAAGAAAGAAAGAAAAAAAGAAAGAAAGAAAGAAAGAAAGAAAGAAAGAAAGAAAGAAAGAAAGAAAGAAAGAAAGAAAGAAAGAAAAAGAUGUAGGGGAAUGGAGGAUACUGGGACCUGCUAGAGGCCCCUUUGAAAUGGUGCCAUUUUCAGAUUUAAGUCUUUUCCCAAUGAAUUUCUCUAGCUCUGAGCUCCAUCCAGUCUUGGAAGGUAUCACCAAUGCGGAUUGCCAAGGAAGUAUAAUAAAUAACCCUUGUCCAAUAAUCGGAGUAAUAAUAGUAAACAUUGUAGUAAUUGCCAUCACUACUACUGUUAUCAUAGUUACUCCUUCUAUGCUGUGCUACACUAUAUUGUAA
RNAcentral lists this long non-coding RNA (1029 nucleotides) under Pogona vitticeps (central bearded dragon). RNAcentral describes it as "lncRNA (ENSPVIG00000002920.1)". The record is from RNAcentral. Lineage: Eukaryota; Metazoa; Chordata; Lepidosauria; Squamata; Agamidae.